This 223-nucleotide ribosomal RNA is filed under the name uncultured bacterium. Its description in RNAcentral is "partial 16S ribosomal RNA". It matches the Rfam family "Bacterial small subunit ribosomal RNA", at positions 116 to 334 of the family's 1533-position model. RNAcentral also lists the same sequence under 1 other name. The record is from RNAcentral.
CGUAGGUAACCUGCCUGGUAGCGGGGGAUAACUAUUGGAAACGAUAGCUAAUACCGCAUAACAGUCGACAUUGCAUGAUGUUGAUUUGAAAGGGGCAAUUGCUCCACUACCAGAUGGACCUGCGUUGUAUUAGCUAGUUGGUGAGGUAACGGCUCACCAAGGCGACGAUACAUAGCCGACCUGAGAGGGUGAUCGGCCACACUGGGACUGAGACACGGCCCAG